CUUGGUGAUUAUGGCACAGAUGUCCCACCCGAUCCCAUUCCGAACUCGGCCGUGAAAUUCUGUAGCGCUGAUGGUACUGCAUCUUAAGGUGUGGGAGAGUAAGUCGUUGCCAGGC
This 115-nucleotide ribosomal RNA is filed under the name Alphaproteobacteria bacterium. Lineage: Bacteria; Pseudomonadati; Pseudomonadota; Alphaproteobacteria. RNAcentral also lists the same sequence under 2 other names. The record is from RNAcentral.